AGAUGUGAAGUAUGGUGUACGUGUACGUACGUCAGUGGGCGGGGUUUAUACCGCAAUUUAAAAGAGUGCCGGCCUUAAAUUUAGAAUCAGAAAUCUUUUUGUUAUUGCUGUUGAGUUUUGUUGAAAGGUGCAGCAUUGAUUAUCGUUUGGAGGUUUUAUGAAGUGCUGCUUUUAAACUACUGACCAAAACUGACAGCUGCUACAGAUGCAUAGAACAAAUCUAGCGUCUGGGGAUACAGUAAUAUCAGGCAAAAUGAAGACGUCUUUUAAAAAUACUAAUUAUCCGAAAGUUUCUGUUAAAGAUCAGACUGUAGCAGACUGUGCUGGUCAGCUGAGGGAAUUUGGAGAUACGAUAAACAACGAACAGACAUUCUUGAAGCUACUUUUCAAACUGCUGUGCCUUGCAACUUGGAAGUGAGGAGUUUGCUGUGUCUCCGGAAUUUGACGACAUUUAUGGAAGAGCCUUGCCUUGAAAAAUGGAUAAAGACUGGAGUACCCCAGCGCACCUUUGGAGAAUGAAUGUGUACUCAAGAGCUAUGACAAACGGAUAAAGCUUGUGGUAGCCCGCUUAAUUUGACAGGAGUACCGAAGGUUUGCUAUACUGCACGAGCAAAUGUUCUGUUGAACGGUACUCUUUCCGAAGUUCGCUUAUUUUGUCUACUGUUCAGAUCUCUCUACGAAGACUUCUGUCUAACUACACUGAUUUUAGCUAUUUAUGGUCAAUUUUUAGACCACGGUUUGAGAGAGAGUGCGGAAUUCUGUAACUUAUUUGUAAUACUAUUUAUUAUCCAUUUUGCAUUUGAAUUUUUAAUUUGCUAGUCUUAUAGUGAGCCGAGAAAAAUCUGCUGUGCAGAUAAAGGUGCUAAAUGUUCAUAUUUUUAGUGAACAAGUCCAAUUUGUCCAUUAAACUAAUGGGUAUCUCUUUACAAGGAGCUUCAUGAACUGGUAUUGAGAUUGCUUACUUCCUUCAAAGCUUUUGUAAUUGCAUUCAGGGGCUUCCCCCUUCUGCUCCUGAGAAACUAGAUGAAGGUUUUCUCUUCCUAAAAAGAAAGCUAUUUGGGAGUCCCAACCCUAGAGUACAUGGUCUGGCCAAUAUGACAGAACAUUUCUUGAUGCUCCUGUAGUUCUGACCAACAUGACAGUGACUGACUGGCCUGCACAUGUGAGACUGACCUGCUUAAUUACAGUCCUGUGUUAGUAGACUACAGAGCAUAGGUUUCCAUUUCAGCUGUUGCUAACUAAUCCUCAUUGCAUUUUUUUUUUGUUACUGAAGGAUAGCAGUGUUAUUGCUUUUUUUUUUCCCCCAACAUGAAGACCCGGGUCAGUGUAGAGUCUAGAUGCCUCCAAAAUAGGGUUAAAUGUUCUGAUGCCCUUUGCAGGGCCGGAAAACAUAUCUUCUAAGGGCUGAGUGGCCUAGUGGACUAACUCACUAUACUGUAGUCUUAACUAGACCUAUGCAUGCUUUUGGUGAUGUUGGUCAUGUUGAUUCAGCACCAUUUUUCUGAAAUGGCAAAUUCCAGUAUUCAGCGAACCUUGAGGUAAAUGCUUUGCAGGGUCAAGCCCCACUGCAUUAAUGUAAAUAUUACCUACCCCCAAGGUCAUGCACCAGAGGAGAGAAGCUGAAAAAUGAAAAACCUUUGAAACAUUUGUCAGUGAUAUUCCACCAAACUAAGGCCAUCACAGUGAUCCAUGAUCAUUUCUUUACAUGGCUUGGUUCUGCAGUUCAGCUUUGCCAAAGUUAUCACAAAAAGUGAUGUAAACUUGUAGGCCCUCUGUUCAUAUUAAAUGUUAAAAUCUGAUUUGAAAUGUUUCUUUUGUACUUGAAGAAUUUUGUACUUAAAAAAAAAUGUAACAUUUCUACCACAUGCUGGCCAUUUCAGGCUUUAAAGAUGUUUCACUGCAUUGUCUGGAAUUGAAUAAAACUGCAGUAUUUAAGUA
Molecule: long non-coding RNA, 1938 nt
Organism: Protopterus annectens (West African lungfish)
Lineage: Eukaryota; Metazoa; Chordata; Ceratodontiformes; Protopteridae
Exons: 2
Source: RefSeq, a predicted model, not a curated record